GUCUACGGCCAUGCCAUCCUGAACAAGCCCGAAGCUGAUCUCAGAAGCUAAGCACGGUCAGGCCUGGUUAGUACUUGGAUGGGAGACCACCUAGGAAGACCAGGUCUUAUAGACA
RNAcentral lists this ribosomal RNA (115 nucleotides) under Pteropus alecto (black flying fox). The record is from RNAcentral. Lineage: Eukaryota; Metazoa; Chordata; Mammalia; Chiroptera; Pteropodidae.